This 270-nucleotide unclassified non-coding RNA is filed under the name uncultured fungus. RNAcentral's name for it is "partial contains small subunit ribosomal RNA, internal transcribed spacer 1, and 5.8S ribosomal RNA". The stretch from base 1 to 73 matches the Rfam family "Eukaryotic small subunit ribosomal RNA", at positions 1759 to 1831 of the family's 1831-position model. Lineage: Eukaryota; Fungi. The record is from RNAcentral.
GCAAACUUGGUCAUUUAGAGGAAGUACAAGUCGUAACAAGGUUUCCGUAGGUGAACCUGCGGAAGGAUCAUUAACAAAUCGAUUUUGUAUGAUGUAUUAUAUAUAUCGUACAAAUAUAUAUGUGCGCCAGCAUGUAUAUUUACGUGCUGGAAUGCAAUAUUCAUGAUAUAGUGUAUAAAUAUAUAUAUGUGUGUGUGUGUGUGAAUGUUAAAUGCUAAACAUACUUUUAACAAUGGAUCUCUUGGCUCUUGCAUCGAUGAAGAACGCAGC